Molecule: unclassified non-coding RNA, 535 nt
Filed under: Aspergillus versicolor
Lineage: Eukaryota; Fungi; Ascomycota; Eurotiomycetes; Eurotiales; Aspergillaceae
Description: sequence contains 18S rRNA gene, ITS1, 5.8S rRNA gene, 28S rRNA gene
Rfam family: 5.8S ribosomal RNA (bases 164-317)
Source: RNAcentral
AUCAUUACUGAGUGCGGGCUGCCUCCGGGCGCCCAACCUCCCACCCGUGAAUACCUAACACUGUUGCUUCGGCGGGGAACCCCCUCGGGGGCGAGCCGCCGGGGACUACUGAACUUCAUGCCUGAGAGUGAUGCAGUCUGAGUCUGAAUAUAAAAUCAGUCAAAACUUUCAACAAUGGAUCUCUUGGUUCCGGCAUCGAUGAAGAACGCAGCGAACUGCGAUAAGUAAUGUGAAUUGCAGAAUUCAGUGAAUCAUCGAGUCUUUGAACGCACAUUGCGCCCCCUGGCAUUCCGGGGGGCAUGCCUGUCCGAGCGUCAUUGCUGCCCAUCAAGCCCGGCUUGUGUGUUGGGUCGUCGUCCCCCCCCGGGGGACGGGCCCGAAAGGCAGCGGCGGCACCGUGUCCGGUCCUCGAGCGUAUGGGGCUUUGUCACCCGCUCGACUAGGGCCGGCCGGGCGCCAGCCGACGUCUCCAACCAUUUUUCUUCAGGUUGACCUCGGAUCAGGUAGGGAUACCCGCUGAACUUAAGCAUAUCAU